UAGUCAUAUGCUUGUUUUAAAGGUUAAGCCAUGCAUGUGUCAGAAUAUGUCUGUAUGGACGAAUCUGCAGACGGCUCAUUACAACAGUAAUUACAUCAUUGACGCUUAAAGUAGACGGGUAACCGUGGGAAACCAAGGCUAAUACGAGAUGAAAGUCCGACAAUAUUUGUCGGGCUGUCUAUGCUGCCACAAAAAUCGAACGCGCCUUGCGUGUGUGACGAAUCGCAGUAUCAUUUCGAGUCGACAAAUCGAUGCGUCAACUUGGAUUCUGACCUAUCAGCUUUCGACGGUAGGGUAUUGGCCUACCGUGGCGACGACGGGUAACGGGGAAUUAGGGUUUGAUUCCGGAGAGGGAGCCUGAGAAACGGCUACCACGUCUAAGGAUGGCAGCAGGCGCGCAAAUUACCCAAUCUUGACACAAGGAGGUAGUGACAAAAAAUAGCAACACGAAGCAAUUGCUUUGAUGAUUGCAAUGGGAUUUUACUAAAAUAUGAGUCGAGAAUCAAUU
This 508-nucleotide ribosomal RNA is filed under the name uncultured eukaryote. RNAcentral's name for it is "bacterial SSU rRNA". It matches the Rfam family "Eukaryotic small subunit ribosomal RNA", at positions 21 to 549 of the family's 1831-position model. The record is from RNAcentral.